This 327-nucleotide unclassified non-coding RNA is filed under the name soil metagenome. RNAcentral's name for it is "partial contains 5.8S ribosomal RNA, internal transcribed spacer 2, and large subunit ribosomal RNA". The stretch from base 1 to 120 matches the Rfam family "5.8S ribosomal RNA", at positions 35 to 154 of the family's 154-position model. The record is from RNAcentral.
GAUGAAGAACGCAGCGAAAUGCGAUAAGUAAUGUGAAUUGCAGAAUUCAGUGAAUCAUCGAAUCUUUGAACGCACAUUGCGCCCCUUGGUAUUCCGAGGGGCAUGCCUGUUCGAGCGUCAUUAUAACCCUCAAGCUCAGCUUGGUGUUGGGGCCUGCUGCACUGGCAGCCCUUAAAAUCAGUGGCGGCGCCAUCUGGCUCUAAGCGUAGUAAUUCUUCUCGCUAUGGAGUCCUGGUGGAUGCUUGCCAUCAACCCCCAAUUUUUCUAUGGUUGACCUCGGAUCAGGUAGGGAUACCCGCUGAACUUAAGCAUAUCAAUAACGGAGGG